GUGACCUCAAAUCAGGUAGGACUACCCGCUGAACUUAAGCAUAUCAAUAAGCGGAGGAAAAGAAACUAACAAGGAUUCCCCUAGUAACUGCGAGUGAAGCGGGAAAAGCUCAAAUUUAAAAUCUGGCAGUCUUUGGCUGUCCGAGUUGUAAUCUAGAGAAGUGUUAUCCGCGCUGGACCGUGUACAAGUCUCCUGGAAUGGAGCGUCAUAGAGGGUGAGAAUCCCGUCUUUGACACGGACUACCAGGGCUUUGUGAUGCGCUCUCAAAGAGUCGAGUUGUUUGGGAAUGCAGCUCAAAAUGGGUGGUAAAUUCCAUCUAAAGCUAAAUAUUGGCGAGAGACCGAUAGCGAACAAGUACCGUGAGGGAAAGAUGAAAAGAACUUUGGAAAGAGAGUUAAACAGUACGUGAAAUUGCUGAAAGGGAAACGCUUGAAGUCAGUCGCGUUGUCCAGGGAUCAACCUUGCUUUUGCUUGGUGCACUUUCUGGUUGACGGGUCAGCAUCAAUUUUGACCAUUGGAAAAAGAUUGAGGGAAUGUGACAUCUUCGGAUGUGUUAUAGCCCUUGGUUGCAUACGAUGGUUGGGAUUGAGGAACUCAGCACGCCGCAAGGCCGGGUUUUUAACCACGUACGUGCUUAGGAUGCUGGCAUAAUGGCUUUAAUCGACCC
Molecule: ribosomal RNA, 667 nt
Filed under: Cortinarius sp. MLB-2010c
Lineage: Eukaryota; Fungi; Basidiomycota; Agaricomycetes; Agaricales; Cortinariaceae
Description: eukaryotic LSU rRNA
Rfam family: Eukaryotic large subunit ribosomal RNA
Source: RNAcentral